CUUGGUGGUCAGAAGCCCUGGGUGGGAGUCCAGUGUGGGCUCAAUGCCUUAUGUGGAGUGCUUAGGCUGGGUUGCUUUUCGGGCUGACUGAUUUGCUCUGUGUGUGGGACAUCUGGGACGGGACUCGGGGAAGCAGGCAUUGGUAGAGCCCGGAAGAGUAGUAGCUGUGAUUGACUGGUGUGGGUUUCAAGCAGAUGGGAUUUGUUUACAUGACCUUCAAGGUCUGCCCAAGUCUGAUGUUUUAGGGCGAGUGAUCACAGAACCCUCUCUUGGGCUAGUAGGUAUAUUAAGGCUGAGUGUAUGGGUAGAAGUGCUCAUCAUCGCAUUUAAUGGCUCAAGAGACACGACAACUCUGCCAGAUAUGGGUCCUGUGGGCAGAGCUGAGAGCUCUGCAAAUUCCCAUUCACUUUUUAAGUCCUGCUUCAUUAUAGCUUGCCAAGUGUGUCACCAAGAUGAAGAUGAAUUAUAAUGACUACAUUUUGGUAAUUCACUUACUUCGCCGGAGUCAGUGCGCAAUUGUAUUACAGCUGAGACCCAUCUGGUUCCAAUCAGUGGUGAAGGGAGAUCCAUGUCUGGACAGAGGGCUGGGCCUGAGGCUGUGCAGGGAAGCUGCCCGGAGAGCUGCAGCUGAACAAUUACCAGCGGAGAGCGGGGAGUGGGCGUGCAGACCACCAGGUGGGCCUGCUCAGGUCCAAGUCAGCUCACACUCUUCAGCACUCCUACUAUGUGCCAGCCCACCAACCAGAAGUAGGGGAGAAAGAAGGUUAAAAGAAAAGGGGUUUGUGGCCCUGUUUAGAACUAGUUCUUUGAGGGGUGAUUCCACUCCUCAGUGGAAGCAGCCAGAAUCAGCUGGAAUACCAUGAGAAGUUCUUUGGUGCAUUUCUUUCUUCAAAGAGAAGACCAGUAAAGACCAGUGAAGCAUUGCCUGGUCAGCAAAGAUCAGCAAAGACCAGUGAAUACCAGUGAAUACCAGCGAAGACCAGCAAAGACCAGCAAAGACCAGCGAAGACCAGCAAAGACCAGCGAAGGCCAGUGAAGCACAGCAGUGUAAGAGUGUCUUUCAUGGUCUGUGCGUUCUACUUAUGUUCUUUCUAAACAUCACACGUUCUCUCAAGUGUCUGUUUUCAGCAAAACAUCGAUGCCCUCUCACAAGACAGCUUCUAGAAAAACAUCACGUGACACAACUGAGUUUUUAGAGAAACCAGAAACUUCCACUUCAGGUCCUGUUAUCCAUGGGUUCAGCAUUUGUGCAUUCAAUCAAAUUCUGGUCAAAAUUAAUUAAAAAAAUACUGCAUCUUUACUAUGCAAAACAGAGAUAGACUUUCUUCCUUAUUGUUAUUCUCUUAAUAAAUUACAGUAUAGUAAAA
This is a long non-coding RNA of Rattus norvegicus (Norway rat), 1367 nucleotides long. RefSeq lists it as uncharacterized. The record is from RefSeq and is a predicted model, not a curated record. Lineage: Eukaryota; Metazoa; Chordata; Mammalia; Rodentia; Muridae.